UUCCAUAGUUUGGUUGACUAA
This is a non-coding RNA of Caenorhabditis elegans, 21 nucleotides long. NCBI's taxonomy places the organism in Eukaryota, Metazoa, Nematoda, Chromadorea, Rhabditida, Rhabditidae. The record is from Ensembl.